GCUCAGUCAGUUGAAUGUCCAACUCUUGAUUUCAGCUCAGGUCACGAUCUGAGAGGGUUGUGGGAUCGAGUCCCACACUGGGCU
RNAcentral lists this transfer RNA (84 nucleotides) under Felis catus (domestic cat). The record is from Rfam by way of RNAcentral. Lineage: Eukaryota; Metazoa; Chordata; Mammalia; Carnivora; Felidae. RNAcentral also lists the same sequence under 3 other names.